Molecule: ribosomal RNA, 1684 nt
Filed under: metagenome
Also listed under: 1 other name
Description: bacterial LSU rRNA
Rfam family: Bacterial large subunit ribosomal RNA
Source: RNAcentral
AUUCCAAUCGAACCCGGAGAUAGCUGGUUCUCUCCGAAAUAGCUUUAGGGCUAGCGUCGAGUAUGAGUAGUGGAGGUAGAGCACUGAAUGGGCUAGGGGGCAUAGCGCUUACCGAACCUUAUCAAACUCCGAAUGCCACAUACUUUGAGCUCGGCAGUCAGACUACGAAUGAUAAGAUCCGUGGUCAAAAGGGAAACAGCCCAGAUCGUCAGCUAAGGUCCCAAAGUGUAAGUUAAGUGGGAAAGGAUGUGAGAUUUCUAAGACAACUAGGAUGUUGGCUUAGAAGCAGCCAUUCAUUAAAAGAGUGCGUAAUAGCUCACUAGUCGAGAGAUCUUGCGCCGAAAAUGUAACGGGGCUAAACUUACCACCGAAGCUACGGGCUUGAACUUAGUUCAAGCGGUAGGAGAGCGUCGUAACCGGGCUGAAGUCGUACCGUAAGGAGCGGUGGACUGGUUACGAGUGAGAAUGUUGGCAUCAGUAGCGAGAUGUGGGUGAGAAUCCCACAGGCCGAAAACCUAAGGUUUCCUCAGGAAGGUUCGUCCGCUGAGGGUUAGUCGGGACCUAAGCCGAGGCCGAAAGGCGUAGGUGAUGGACAACUGGUUGAUAUUCCAGUACCACUACCAUCGUUAUUAUCGAUGGCGUGACGCAGGAGGAUAGUGUGUGCUAGCUAUUGGAUGCUAGUCUAAGCGUUUAGGCAGUGAGAGUAGGCAAAUCCGCUCUCAUAAUGCUGAGGCGUGAUGGGGAAGGUUCUACGGAACCGAAGUACAUGAUUCCACGCUGCCAAGAAAAGCGUCUAGAGAGAGAAGUAGUGCCCGUACCGCAAACCGACACAGGUAGGUGAGGAGAGAAUCCUAAGGCCGGCGGAAGAAUUACAGUUAAGGAACUCGGCAAAUUGACCCCGUAAGUUCGCGAGAAGGGGUGCCUACGAGAGUAGGCCGCAGAGAAUAGGCCCAAGCAACUGUUUAGCAAAAACACAGGUCUCUGCUAAAGCGUAAGCUGAUGUAUAGGGGCUGACGCCUGCCCGGUGCUGGAAGGUUAAGGGGAACACUUAGCGCAAGCGAAGGUGUGAACUUAAGCCCCAGUAAACGGCGGCCGUAACUAUAACGGUCCUAAGGUAGCGAAAUUCCUUGUCAGGUAAGUUCUGACCCGCACGAAUGGCGUAAUGACUUGGGCACUGUCUCAACUGUAAAUCCGGCGAAGUUGUAGUGCGAGUGAAGAUGCUCGCUACCCGCGAUUGGACGGAAAGACCCCGUAGAGCUUUACUGUAGCUUAGCAUUGAGUUUUGGUAUUGUCUGUACAGGAUAGGUGGGAGACUAGGAAACCAGGGCGUCAGCCUUGGUGGAGUCAACCUUGGGAUACCACCCUGACAGUACUGAAAUUCUAACUGGCGGCCAUGAAUCUGGUCACAGGACAUUGUUAGGUGGGCAGUUUGACUGGGGCGGUCGCCUCCUAAAAAGUAACGGAGGCGCCCAAAGGUUCCCUCAGAACGGUCGGAAAUCGUUCGAAGAGUGCAAAGGCAGAAGGGAGCCUGACUGCGACACCCACAAGUGGAGCAGGGACGAAAGUCGGGCUUAGUGAUCCGGUGGUACCUCGUGGGAGGGCCAUCGCUCAACGGAUAAAAGCUACCUCGGGGAUAACAGGCUGAUCUCCCCCAAGAGUCCACAUCGACGGGGAGGUUUGGCAC